RNAcentral lists this ribosomal RNA (253 nucleotides) under uncultured bacterium. RNAcentral's name for it is "partial 16S ribosomal RNA". It matches the Rfam family "Bacterial small subunit ribosomal RNA", at positions 524 to 776 of the family's 1533-position model. The record is from RNAcentral.
UACGUAGGUGGCAAGCGUUGUCCGGAAUUAUUGGGCGUAAAGCGCGCGCAGGCGGUCCUUUAAGUCUGAUGUGAAAGCCCACGGCUCAACCGUGGAGGGUCAUUGGAAACUGGGGGACUUGAGUGCAGGAGAGAAGAGUGGAAUUCCACGUGUAGCGGUGAAAUGCGUAGAGAUGUGGAGGAACACCAGUGGCGAAGGCGACUACCUGGCCUGUUCUUGACGCUGAGGCGCGAAAGCUAGGGUAGCAAACGGG